CACCACCACAGUGCUCUUCAGCAGAGAGCAUGGGAGCUGGGCUCCUACAGCAUUGCUCAGACUCUUUAAUCACUUGAUACUGGCAGCCCUUGCAGUUUCCCUCCUUCCCUUACAGUUGUUCUGCCUUCCAUUAUGAUUUUCUCUUUUAGUGUAAACAUUUGACUUGAUUCAGGUUGGGUUCUAGAAGGAUGCUGUUAUGCACACUGGUCUGUGGUUGCCAGCCUGAGCAGUGCAUGGUUCUGGGAAUGUGGUAUCUGGUUCAGGUUAUCAGAUGGAUUCCAUGGCUGCUGUUUGGCUCUGAGGAGAAGACCUUUCAAGAUCAUCUGUAGAAAACACCUUUACAGCUGAAAUUCCCCACAAAUAUGUAAGAUGAUUAAAAUCC
Molecule: long non-coding RNA, 382 nt
Organism: Tyto alba (common barn owl)
Lineage: Eukaryota; Metazoa; Chordata; Aves; Strigiformes; Tytonidae
Exons: 3
Source: RefSeq, a predicted model, not a curated record